UUGCUCACACAACGUCUUACUGACCAAAACAUGUUGAUAUUUCCACCAUAAAUGUUGAUUAGGAGAACCUCUAAUGAUUAUAACGACUGGUACUCCGAUAUGUAUAUGUAGUAGCAGAGAAGUCUCUGUGAGAGUGGUAAGUUAUCAUUUAAAGUGUAUGGCAAUCUGGCUCGGCAAGAUCAGUUUGACAUCCCAGACGGUGAAGAGUUUAAUAGAAUGAAGGAAGAAAAUGCCAAUCUACAAGAAAAGUUGAAUGAUGCUGACAUUCUUAAUCGAUAUUCCUUGCUGUUGUCUGAGAUACAUGCUCAAGAAUCUGUGGAACUCUCUAGCAUAUGAAUCUAGUCUUCCAGCAUAACUUGAAAAGCAAUCAAGGGGUUGUAUUUGGAAGCUUUGAAUCAGUAGAUAAGGUGAAAAAAGGAUGUUCAGAGAUGUAUGGGAUGCCAUACCUGAGAACUCACCCAUAAAUCCAAAAGAAUGUAAGGGAUAAAAUCUGUUCUAGUCAAUUAGAUGUUACAGACUUGCAACUAAUUGUCGUGCGUUAAAUAAUUGCAUAUUUCUUGGAUGGCAGAUUUCAGAAAUGGAUAUUGGCUUAGUAGUUGGUGGUGCAUUUCUCUCUUCAGGCCUGCAAGUUUUCUUUGAUAGGAUUGCACCUCAGGGUGAGCUGCUCAAGAUGUUUCAGAAGCGUAAGAAUGAUGUUCGGAUCUUAAAGAAGCUGAAAAUCACUUUGCGUGGUCUUCAAGCUGUGGUGAGUGAUGUAGAGAAUAAGCAGGAGUCAAAUCAAUCUGUGAGCCAGUGGCUUGAUGAGGCUGUAAAUCUUGAUGGAAGAAGUUAAUUAUGAAGCUUUGAGGCUUAAGGUGGAAGGUCAGCAUCAAAAUCUUGCAGAAAUUAAACAAGCAAGAAAUUUUGUGGAUUUUUUCUUUGCUUGUCUAUUAGCUUCAUUUGGUCGUUCUAAAGACAACUGAAAUUGAUAGAUAGAGGGAGUUCGACAGGACUAACCAAAUAGGCUGUUAAAAUUUACAUCACCCUAAUUACCUUAGUCUUAAAUAGUUUUUCCUACAAUUGUUUUCAAGUUUUGCAUGUUUGUAUGUUAUGAGAAGUAUCAUCUCUAGAAUGGUUCUAUGGAAAACUAACAACUUUUCUAUUU
This is an RNA transcript of Solanum stenotomum, 1144 nucleotides long. RefSeq lists it as uncharacterized. The record is from RefSeq and is a predicted model, not a curated record. The transcript is spliced from 5 exons. NCBI's taxonomy places the organism in Eukaryota, Viridiplantae, Streptophyta, Magnoliopsida, Solanales, Solanaceae.